CGUACGCCUCCAUCCAGCUUAGCGGCGCCCGAGUCACAGACCAGUCACAUGCCGCCGCGGCUCCUGCUCAACAAUGUCUCCUGCAUGCGGAACGCACAGAAGGUGCUCUGUGACAUCAACCUCAGCGUCCACGACGGCACAGCCCUCGUCCUUACCGGCGCCAACGGCUCCGGAAAGACCACCCUCCUCCGCAUGCUGGCGGGCUUUCGCGCCCCUCGGCGGGGGAGAUCCUCUGGAACGGACACGACAUCACCUCCCCCGACGUCUUCCAGCAGUACAAGCUGCAGCUCAACUGGAUGUCGCUCAAGGACGCCGUGAAAGAGAAGCUCACAGUGCUCGAGAACGUCCAGUGGUUCGAGCUCCUCGAGGGGAAGGACGGCAGCAGGUCGGGCCCGGCCAUCUAGCUCAUGGAGCUCGGCAGGCUCAUGAACGAGAAGGCCAGGAGGAUGUUGUCCAUGGGGCAGAGGAAGCGGCUGCAGCUCGCCAGGCUGCUCGCCAUCGAUCGACCCAUCUGGCUGCUGGACGAGCCCUCCGUCGCGCUGGACGCAGAGGGUACCAGGCUGCUUAAACACAUCAUCGCGGAGCACCGGGAGAAGGGUGGCAUCGUGUUCGUGGCCACGCAUCUGCCGAUUCAGGUUGAGGAUUCUAUGUCGCUUCGGCUUCCCCAGAGGUUUCCUCGGAGGAAGACGCUGGUUGAUCUUGUCCAUUGAUGGCUUGACGCCAAUGUGACCAGGAAUUUAGUUGUAUCUCUCUAAUUCCUCUCCAGCUAUCUGUCUGAAUGCUGUCAGAGCAAUAUUUUUUUUUGCUGGUGCUGCAUUUGUCAUCCUUUUUUGACAGCAUGACAAUACAUUAUCUAUGUUGAUAAUAUGUGCAGUUGUUCUUUGUGAUCACUGUUUUGAUGCAUUUGCCCAUGUAUUUGGGAACAAUAGAAGGCAUUUGUCAUGUCUGAUAUAUGUACAGCUGUUCUUUGCGAUCAUGGUGUUGAUGCAUUGACCCCCUUAUAUAUAUGGUACUUGCUGGUGGAAACUCUGUUGGCUGUUCAAUGUUUAGCAGGUUUAUUCACGCCUUGCAUGUCUGUGUGAAGCUUCAAGUGUUGGAUACUCGGCAAACUUGACCAAAUAUGGGGAGACCUUUGGACAGGAUCAGGUAUAGAUGUCUGAUUUGAGUGUCUCUUUUCUCAUAUUCUUGUGAAUUGACUAAGGUUGAUUUCUUCCAUAACAAAUUUUGUUUUAGUCUGAAUAUGUUAUUGUUGUCAUCUGAAUAUAUUCAGAAGUGGCUGAUUUUGCAUUUGUAGCAUGUGCAGUGUUUAAUUCACAAACAAUGUUUUUUACUACAUACAAUAACUACUAACAAAUUAGUUUAGGCCAUGUCGACAAAAUUUGGUGCCCAGUUGCUGUAAAGCCCAAAAUUGGUAGAAGGAUAAUAAUAAAAAAAAUAAACAAAUAUAUUUAUUAUAGUGGUUUGGAAAUUCUUGAAACCUUGGAUUAAAUAAUAAUAAUAAUAAUAGAAUUUUAAAU
This is an RNA transcript of Zea mays, 1517 nucleotides long. It is a transcript of the gene named ABC transporter I family member 1-like, with no coding region annotated. The transcript has a single exon. The record is from RefSeq and is a predicted model, not a curated record. NCBI's taxonomy places the organism in Eukaryota, Viridiplantae, Streptophyta, Magnoliopsida, Poales, Poaceae.